AGCAAAGAUACCACUUUGAAUUUUCAAGCAUCAAACGUUUGCCAUAAACGCACAGUCAUUACUUUGUGAUCCCAAUCUCAAUUCGCCUGCAAAUUCUAAAGCUGCUCAAAUGUUUGCUCAAUGACUGCAGAGUUGGACAACAGAAAUAGUGGGGCAGAGCUGGAUAGCAGACUACCUCUUCCUUGGGCAGGGUAAUUCCUGAAGGUUUUAGGACAUGUUCUAUUGACAUUGCCAUUUCAUUAUCCAAUUUCAGGAGUUGUUGAAUUUAUCAUGUAUUUCUCAUGUCAACCUUUCACAUAUGAAUUGGAGAGCUAUUUGAUAAUUUUGAUCCA
This is a long non-coding RNA of Pistacia vera, 332 nucleotides long. RefSeq lists it as uncharacterized. The record is from RefSeq and is a predicted model, not a curated record. Lineage: Eukaryota; Viridiplantae; Streptophyta; Magnoliopsida; Sapindales; Anacardiaceae. The transcript is spliced from 2 exons.